GGAGAAAAGCAGGGGAUCGCAAGACCUUGCGCUCAUUGAGCGGCCGAUGCCUGAUUAGCUAGUUGGUGAGGUAAAGGCUUACCAAGGCGACGAUCAGUAGCUGGUCUGAGAGGACGACCAGCCACACUGGGACUGAGACACGGCCCAGACUCCUACGGGAGGCAGCAGUGGGGAAUUUUGGACAAUGGGGGAAACCCUGAUCCAGCCAUGCCGCGUGAGUGAAGAAGGCCUUCGGGUUGUAAAGCUCUUUCAGCCGGAACGAAACGGUCACGGCUAAUACCUGUGACUACUGACGGUACCGGAAGAAGAAGCACCGGCUAACUACGUGCCAGCAGCCGCGGUAAUACGUAGGGUGCGAGCGUUAAUCGGAAUUACUGGGCGUAAAGCGUGCGCAGGCGGUUUUGUAAGUCAGAAGUGAAAUCCCCGAGCUUAACCUGGGAACUGCGUUUGUAAUAGAAGGCUAGAAGGGCKMCBRNAGGAGGAAAGCAGGGGAUCGCAAGACCUUGCGCUCAUUGAGCGGCCGAUGCCUGAUUAGCUAGUUGGUGAGGUAAAGGCUUACCAAGGCGACGAUCAGUAGCUGGUCUGAGAGGACGACCAGCCACACUGGGACUGAGACACGGCCCAGACUCCUACGGGAGGCAGCAGUGGGGAAUUUUGGACAAUGGGGGAAACCCUGAUCCAGCCAUGCCGCGUGAGUGAAGAAGGCCUUCGGGUUGUAAAGCUCUUUCAGCCGGAACGAAACGGUCACGGCUAAUACCUGUGACUACUGACGGUACCGGAAGAAGAAGCACCGGCUAACUACGUGCCAGCAGCCGCGGUAAUACGUAGGGUGCGAGCGUUAAUCGGAAUUACUGGGCGUAAAGCGUGCGCAGGCGGUUUUGUAAGUCAGAAGGGAAAUCCCCGGGCUUAACCUGGGAACUGCGUUUUUUAAAGGAAGCUAGAAGGGC
RNAcentral lists this ribosomal RNA (947 nucleotides) under uncultured beta proteobacterium. Its description in RNAcentral is "bacterial SSU rRNA". The stretch from base 1 to 542 matches the Rfam family "Bacterial small subunit ribosomal RNA", at positions 198 to 1533 of the family's 1533-position model. The record is from RNAcentral. Lineage: Bacteria; Pseudomonadati; Pseudomonadota; Betaproteobacteria.